RNAcentral lists this ribosomal RNA (440 nucleotides) under uncultured bacterium. RNAcentral describes it as "partial 16S ribosomal RNA". It matches the Rfam family "Bacterial small subunit ribosomal RNA", at positions 338 to 795 of the family's 1533-position model. The record is from RNAcentral.
CCUACGGGGGGCAGCAGUGGGGAAUAUUGCACAAUGGGGGAAACCCUGAUGCAGCGACGCCGCGUGAAGGAAGAAGUAUUUCGGUAUGUAAACUUCUAUCAGCAGGGAAGAAAAUGACGGUACCUGUCUAGGAAGCCCCGGCUAACUACGUGCCAGCAGCCGCGGUAAUACGUAGGGGGCAAGCGUUAUUCGGAUUUACUGGGUGUAAAGGGAGCGUAGGCGGUUUAGCAAGGCAGAAGUGAAAGCCCGGGGCUCAACUCCGGGACUGCUUUUGAAACUGUUGAACUAGAGUGCAGGAGAGGGAUGUGGAAUGCCUGGUGUAGCGGUGAAAUGCGUAGAGAUUAGGAGGAACACCAGUGGCGAAGGCGGCUUACUGGACUGUAAAUGACGCUGAGGCUCGAAAGCGUGGGGAGCAAACAGGAUUAGAUACCCGUGUAGUC